GUAGCUAUCAAAUAUGUGUGCA
This 22-nucleotide microRNA is filed under the name Lingula anatina. RNAcentral's name for it is "Lan-Novel-1_5p (mature (guide))". Lineage: Eukaryota; Metazoa; Brachiopoda; Lingulata; Lingulida; Lingulidae. The record is from RNAcentral.